UCGGGAAUUUUGGGCAAUGGGCGAAAGCCUGAUCCAACCAUGCCGCGUGAGUGACGAAGGCCUUAGGGUUGUAAAGCUCUUUUGGCGGGGAAGAUAAUGACGGUACCCGCAGAAUAAGCUCCGGCUAACUUCGUGCCAGCAGCCGCGGUAAUACGAAGGGAGCUAGCGUUGUUCGGAAUCACUGGGCGUAAAGCGCACGUAGGUGGGCAGUUAAGUCAGGGGUGAAAGCCCGAGGCUCAACCUCGGAAUUGCCUCUGAUACUGGCUGUCUAGAGUACGGUAGAGGGGGAUGGAAUUCCGCGUGUAGCAGUGAAAUGCGUAGAUAUGCGGAGGAACACCGAUGGCGAAGGCAGCCCCCUGGGCUAACACUGACGCUCAUGCACGAAAGCGUGGGGAGCAAACAGGAUUAGAUACCCCUGUAGUCCCUGAGCGGGCUGGCAAGGCGCAU
This 447-nucleotide ribosomal RNA is filed under the name uncultured bacterium. Its description in RNAcentral is "bacterial SSU rRNA". It matches the Rfam family "Bacterial small subunit ribosomal RNA", at positions 355 to 825 of the family's 1533-position model. The record is from RNAcentral.